This 486-nucleotide ribosomal RNA is filed under the name uncultured Acidobacteriota bacterium. RNAcentral describes it as "bacterial SSU rRNA". It matches the Rfam family "Bacterial small subunit ribosomal RNA", at positions 355 to 859 of the family's 1533-position model. Lineage: Bacteria; Pseudomonadati; Acidobacteriota. The record is from RNAcentral.
UGGGGAAUCUUGCACAAUGGGGGAAACCCUGACGCAGCGACGCCGCGUGAGCGAUGAAGCCCUUCGGGGCGUAAAGCUCUUUCGGCAGGGACGAUAAUGACGGUACCUGAAGAAGAAGCUGCGGCUAACUACGUGCCAGCAGCCGCGGUAAUACGUAGGCAGCGAGCGUUGUUCGGAGUUACUGGGCGUAAAGAGUGCGUAGGCUGUGGUCCAAGUCUGGUGUGAAAUCUCCCGGCUUAACCGGGAGGGUGCGCCGGAAACUGGGCUGCUAGAGUACUGGAGAGGCAAGCGGAAUUCCUGGUGUAGCGGUGAAAUGCGUAGAUAUCAGGAGGAACACCCGUGGUGUAGACGGCUUGCUGGACAGUCACUGACGCUGAGGCACGAAAGCGUGGGGAGCAAACAGGAUUAGAUACCCUGGUAGUCCACGCCCUAAACGAUGCAUACUUGGUGUGGGCAGUUCAGUCUGUCCGUGCCGAAGCUAACGCG